UCAAAUACCUUUUUAGUUGUAUUUGUAACGAUAAAAGUUUAUGAGGGUACAAUAAAGAUGUUGCCGUCAAAAAUACCAAAAAUAGUACUUUCAUUCCACUUAAUUUUUUUAUUUUUAUUUUUUAUAAAUUCUACCUUAAUGAUGAUAGAAAAAUAUUAUUUAUUUUUUUAAUAUUAUAAUGAACUUUUGUUUUAUUUUAAACUGAUUUAUUCAUUUUAUUUAUUAGGUUUAAAUACUUUUAGAAAGAAAUAUAUUUUAAUUUUAUUUUUUAAUUUAUUCUUUAAUUUUUAAUUAUUUCAUACUGAGAUAAAUAAUAUUUAAAAAUAUUAAUGUAUAAUAGAAAAAAAUAAUGUUAGUAAUUAUAAUAAUUUACUAUUAUAUUAU
RNAcentral lists this long non-coding RNA (384 nucleotides) under Ananas comosus (pineapple). RNAcentral describes it as "long non-coding RNA (ACOM_LNC017541)". The record is from RNAcentral. Lineage: Eukaryota; Viridiplantae; Streptophyta; Magnoliopsida; Poales; Bromeliaceae.